UGGGGGCACCCUGAUGGAGCACGCCGCGUGCAGGAUGAAGGCCUUCGGGUUGUAAACUGCUUUUAUAAGUGAGGAAUAUGACGGUAACUUAUGAAUAAGGAUCGGCUAACUACGUGCCAGCAGCCGCGGUCAUACGUAGGAUCCGAGCGUUAUCCGGAGUGACUGGGCGUAAAGAGUUGCGUAGGUGGUUUGUAAAGCGAAUAGUGAAAUCUGGCGGCUCAACCGUACAGGCUAUUAUUCGAACUCACAAACUCGAGAAUGGUAGGGGUCACUGGAAUUUCUUGUGUAGGAGUGAAAUCCGUAGAUAUAAGAAGGAACACCAAUGGCGUAGGCAGGUGACUGGACCAUUUCUGACACUGAGGCACGAAAGCGUGGGGAGCGAACCGGAUUAGAUACCCGGGUAGUCCACGCCGUAAACGAUGGAUACUAGUUGUUGGGGGUAUCGACCCCCUCAGUAACGAAGCUAACGCGUUAAGUAUCCCGCCUGUGGAGUACGGUCGCAAGACUAAAACAUAAAGGAAUUGACGGGGACCCGCACAAGUAGUGGAUCGUGUUCUUUAAUUCGAUGCUAAACGAAAAACCUUACCAGGGUUUGACAUCCUUGGAAUUUCUGCGAAAGUAGAAAGUGCUUUAUUGAACCAAGUGACAGGUGAUGCAUGGCCGUCGUCAGCUCGUGUCGUGAGAUGUUUGGUUAAGUCCAUCAACGAGCGCAACCCUUGUGAAUAGUUGAAUUUUUCUAUUCAGACUGCCCCGGUAACGGGGAGGAAGGAGGGGAUGAUGUCAGGUCAGUAUUUCCCUUACAUCCUGGGCUAGAAACACGAUACAAUGGCAAGUACAAUGCGCAGCGAAGCCGCGAGGUGGAGCCAAAUCGCACCNAAANCCUUGUCCCAUUU
This 893-nucleotide ribosomal RNA is filed under the name uncultured bacterium. RNAcentral describes it as "bacterial SSU rRNA". It matches the Rfam family "Bacterial small subunit ribosomal RNA", at positions 372 to 1293 of the family's 1533-position model. The record is from RNAcentral.